CGGGCUAACCAAGUCUUGGGAUUGGAGGUGGGGGUGAGCGCGGGGAGAGGAAGCGAGGACAGGAGGGGGCGGCGCGGCGGUAGAAGGGGCGUGAGCAGCGGCGGCGAGGGCGCACGAGGCGGAGGAGGGGAAGGGAGCAAGAGCACGUCGGCGGCGCCGCGAGGGCGUAGAGGAGGGGAAGGAGAGGGUUGCGGUGCAAGCGCCUCCACGACGUCUAGGGGCGGCUGGUCCGGCGCGACCGCGAGCCCCGCGAGCGGCGGCACGAGGGGCCACUGCUGCUGUGGGGGCGUCGCCUGCUGCGCAGCCUCCGGCUGGAGGUGCGUUUGGGAUCGCGUCGAGUUCCGCUUCGAGCACCGCAACCCCGGCCCGUGCACCCACCGCGCCACGAGCGCCUCCGCGAUGUCUAGGGGCGGCUCGUCCAGCGCGACCGCGAGCCCCACGAGCGGCGGCACGAGGGGCCGCUGCUGCUGCUGGGGCGUUGCCUGCCUCGACCGCGGAGGGGCGGGGGUAGAUAGGUGAGGCAGGUCUACUUCGAACGCCCGAACUCACCGGGUGUACAAUGUUCUAAUAAUUUCCCUGAACACUCCCUUAUUUAAUGGAAGUGUUGAGGGUCCUUUCCGUAUAAAUGGUAGACUUGAAUUUCGGACCAUUAUAAAACGACCUAUUUUCAUACUGGGGGUUCUAACGUCUAGAACCAAACAGUUCUGAACAACUAAGUUAUCUUUGUCUACUUGGUCUAUACGCGGUCCCUUGUGACAUUCAACUACCUACUAGUAUGAGACUCGGCAAGUAAAAAAGUUUCUAUAAGACUUUUUUUUUAGGAACAUAAAAAUUGAUUGAUAAUUGGUAUAUUUAAUUCCAAUAGGGAAAUACUCUAUAAGACUUAUUUGUCUACUUGGUAAAUAAAAUAGAGGACGGUUUUAUUACUCUACUAGAUAUAAAUACAGGGAAGAUAAAAUUAAUCUAUCACAAUAGUCCCUAUAUAUCAAAACCUUCAAGUUUGAUCUAGAUAAGUAAUAAUAAUCAUCAACUCGACGACUAACAUUGUUAUACGAAUGCACUCAAAGUCUGAUUCACGAGAUUAUAAGUAAUAAUCAGUUUAAUGAAUGAUAACUUUACAGCACCAAGAGAUAUAUACAGUAGAGAGUAACCUACAGACUUAAAUCUGAGGCCGACAUCCCAACAAACACAACACACCAUACUUAACGGAAACAUGAAGUUUUACGUACAUAGUUCACAGCUAAAAGAUUAUUUUGCUAGACAUAUAGACGUAAUGUCAACCUUAUAAGUAUACAUACCAAAGUACGAAGGUUCUUAUUGUUUGUGAUACGUGGGUCGAGAGAGAAAACACCGGUGAUUGGUAAGUGAAAGAAAACAAGGAUGUUGGACGUAACCGCAUUCAAACUAAAAUAUAACGGAUGAAGUUCGUGGCUACCUGGUGGUGUACAAACUUAAUAAACAAAAAGUCUCUAAUAAAGAGACCUAAAGGUAAAAAUAACUAGUCUUCCGUGCCCACGUCCAUAGUUGUUAAUGUCACAACUCACCAGCAUUGGUGGGUGAAAACACGGGUGUAAAAAGUUUUUAUGACGUUUCUAUGUAAACUAAAAUUAAUACAAUUUUUGUUGCCAAACCAGACCUGAUUCAUGUUUCAUGGUUUAACUGUAAAGGGGAACCAAUAAAUGAAUGACAUGACACAGUCUACCGUUAUUCAUCCACUUAAUAUACGACCCAACGUUUAACAUGAAGAUUCAUUCUGGUGUACUUGACGAUUAGUCUAAUAGGCACAUUAUUUUAGAAGAAAUUAGAUUCGAAGUUUCGAUGUACUUGAUGGUAUAAAAGACUAAACAACCGACGUGAUUUUUAUCCCUGUACGAGAUUAUCAAUAAACGUCAUCAUGACAAUCGGUUAACUAUGAUCCACACGUACUUAUAAACGGAACGGUCAUACUAAACUAAGCCUGCACCUACCCAGGACAGAAAAUAAGACGAACAAAGAAGGGCACAAGGAGUAGAAAGACCUACACAGCGUCAACCCUGCCACCGCACGGCCUUCCCGACAGAACGCUCAACUGGCCUCACCCUCAUGUGGUCUCUCCGAAGACUCUACCGACUCCCUAGACAGAUUCCAAACGACCAACUAAACAGGACCGACCCCAGACGAACAAGAGAACCGAGGACCCGACACGACGAGCUUCAACGAAGUGACCAAAGGAACGUCCGUGGGUUCGAAAAGAAGCGCGCUACCGUAGUCCGUGUGCCUCCCUCGAGAAGAAGUAGCCACGCUACUUGUUACUGGCACUAGAGGCAAGGUGUGGCAGUGGUCGAUCGUUCUACUUCGUAAGACAGUGCCAAUCCGGCUUCCGAUACGAAUCGCGGCAAGAACGACUUCUACCAAAUGGGCUCCACUUCAUGUUCUGGACGCGUAGGAUGGCACCGGCACACCGCCGAUGAGGUAGUGUCAGCGCAAGUAGACGUCGCCGUCUCGUAUACUCCUAGUUACCGCUGGGUCGACACCUACGGUUACCCGGUACGUUUUACGACGAGGAGCCACGCGACGAGGAGCCACGAACCUCGUAGAAGUCCGGUGGUACCUAUAACUUAAACUGACGGGAGUUUACGUCUUUUAAUUCUGGCUCUACUUCAUGGACAGCCCGUCACAGCUGCUCUUUCUGUCCUUCUAGUCUCUAGACUUCCGAUUCCGCCCAGUUGCCCGAAUGGUUCCCGACCCCAGUGACCGUCUAAUGGACGAGCCUAGACGUAUACUAGUUCGAAACGAAGGCUGACCAAGAAGUCAUCAAGCAAAAAAUAGUAUCGACUUUUACGUAACGUGGCACAUACGAAUGAGAGGAUACUACGAAAGAUGCGAGAACACAAUCCAUUCCCCGUCAUGAACGAAGCUAGUAAAACUAAGACUAAUCUAGAAAUAAAGGUAAACUGAAGGACGACAUAGAAGUAGAGGUAAAUUGAAUAACUAUACCAAAACAAAGUAAGACAAAAUCGCAUGAAUGUUAAUUAUUGAAAUAUUAGUUGAGGACUGCAGUGAUAAAGCAUCAAACAAAACAAAUCUUGUUGAACUGUACGUGGGAAAAUGGAGUGCGUGAGUUCUAUAUUAUAAAUAGAAAUAAAUAUAUAUGUUGUUGAAGUACCUACCCACAAACCUCCAAAGACUCCGACGUAAUACUUAUCCACUAUAAUUCGCUUAUGGUCAUAAAAAUCCACGUAAAAUAGCCGGUAGAUAAAUGUCGAAGUCAAUGAAGUAUGCAAUCAGGGUAAACUUGUGUACCACUAUUAUAGUACGAAAGAAGAAUAGCAGCCUUAUCGUCGGACCCAAUGACGAUUGAAUUGUAAUGUGCGAACUGGUUUUGCAAGCCUGGCCGUGGGAGUGCAGUUCCGCGCAUGGGCUAGAUCAACAUAAACUGGUACCCAAGAUCGAACCGUAGUCCCUGUUUGAUGUCCCCCUGUAGUUAGCGAGAGCGGAGAGCGAAUAGGUGAACAAUACGUUGAACACUACUAACCCGGGUUUCUCUCCGUAACCGAUAUACGGAUAUACAUGUAGUUAUUACGAGGUCCAAGGUGAGUUUUUUUUUUUUUUUUGAGGUACAAUCGGUCGGUACAGCCGGUUCACUGAUAACUACUAUAGGAUGUCCAUUAAGGCCAGUAAUAGUUCCACCAAUCACUGUGACUGUGGUAUAGACCAGGUCGUCGAUUUGUGUCGUCCAUCUUCUUCCUUUUUUUUCCAGAGAGACCUAAUAACAUGAUCUGAACAAUUAAACGCGGUAAUACUCAAUCAUAAAAACAUAUAGAAGUGGACAGACAAGUACAUGAAUAAAUGUAUUUUUUUAGGUAGACCCACAAAUAAUAUCUUACUAUCUACGUACUGUGCCUAUUUGUAAACUCGAUAUUAUGACAUCUAUCAUCAUAAAGAGUCAACAAAGUUAAGUGCGUCGUCUCAUCAGUAGAAGCAACGAUUGUGAUCUCUUUUUUUUGAUCAAAAGACAGGUUCAUGAAUACCUCUUCGCAAGCGAACUUAACGUCCACCUUGACCGGUGAGUCUAGUUGUAUAUAGUAUUAGUUGUCGGCUGUACGUGUGAGUUGCGGCUUCUGCUGUUAAAACCUCUUCGAUACCGUUCGCAACAAUUUUCAAUCCUUUUCUACGAGUCAUACCCUUCGAUAGUCGUUAUUGUCAACCUAUAGGUUUUAGUUUGCUGACAGUCUGGUAUCAACGGUCUUUAAACCCAGCUAGCCCAGCUCCUUGCCCCAGCGCCCUGC
Molecule: ribosomal RNA, 4268 nt
Filed under: Triticum aestivum (bread wheat)
Lineage: Eukaryota; Viridiplantae; Streptophyta; Magnoliopsida; Poales; Poaceae
Description: partial small subunit ribosomal RNA
Source: RNAcentral